This 301-nucleotide ribosomal RNA is filed under the name uncultured bacterium. RNAcentral describes it as "partial 16S ribosomal RNA". It matches the Rfam family "Bacterial small subunit ribosomal RNA", at positions 509 to 807 of the family's 1533-position model. The record is from RNAcentral.
CAGUCGCCGCGGGAAUACGUAGGGUGCGAGCGUUAAUCGGAAUUACUGGGCGUAAAGCGUGCGCAGGCGGUUGUGUAAGACAGGUGUGAAAUCCUCGGGCUUAACCUGGGAACUGCGCUUGUGACUGCACAGCUAGAGUAUGGCAGAGAGGGGUGGAAUUCCACGUGUAGCAGUGAAACGCGUAGGGAUGUGGAGGAACACCGAUGGCGAAGGCAGCCCCCUGGGCCAAUACUGACGCUCAUGCACGAAAGCGUGGGGAGCAAACAGGAUUAGAUACCCGCGUAGUCCCUGUCUCUUAUAC